UCUGUAUGAUAUCAAGUGCUGAACUUUCUGUUUGUUCACAGAAAUGGGUUGCUUGCUUUUUUGCUUAGAUAAAAGACAGGUUGACACACCUUGAUAGAUACAGAGGAUUUACGUUUCUUCUGAGAGGUCCCACAUAAGACAGCAGAGGAGCAACCAAGUUGGGAAUAAAGAUGCAGCUUCCUUAUUCAGUAAAGCUCUGGGACCCUUGGUGGGAGCUUCAUACAGAAGUGAAAUAUUCAUUAUGAAGCAAGAAGAGCAAGAAGGGAUGAUACACGGUGAUGAAAAGUACCCUGAGAAGGCAGUGGAACAUUAUGAUCUGAAAGAGAUGUUGCUGGACGAAGCUGGCACUACAUACAGACAGACUUCUCUCUCCUUCAAAAUAAGCCAGCAAAAACACAGCAACAUCCUGUCCUCAGUAGGAGACUAAAGAAGCAAGUUCUAACAAAAACAAGGUCUGCUGCACAUUAGCAGACAGUGCUGUGCAACUCCAUAGCUAAUCAACAGUAAAGCCAACUUUUUGAUUUAAUUGCACAAAGAACAGAGAACAUCAGGAAGGUUUGUGCCUUUCUACACAAAAUGAAAUAAUUUGCUUGAUACUUUGUUACCAGUCCAGAUGUCUUCAAAUAAACGUUUUCAAAA
RNAcentral lists this long non-coding RNA (639 nucleotides) under Anser brachyrhynchus (Pink-footed goose). Its description in RNAcentral is "lncRNA (ENSABRG00000015395.1)". Lineage: Eukaryota; Metazoa; Chordata; Aves; Anseriformes; Anatidae. The record is from RNAcentral.